UACGUAGGGGGGCUAGCGUUGUCCGGAAUCAUUGGGCGUAAAGAGCGUGUAGGCGGUCCGGUAAGUCCGCUGUGAAAGUCGGGGGCUCAACCCUCGAAUGCCGGUGGAUACUGUCGGGCUAGAGUGCGGAAGAGGCGAGUGGAAUUCCUGGUGUAGCGGUGAAAUGCGCAGAUAUCAGGAGGAACACCAAUGGCGAAGGCAGCACUCUGGGGACGUGACUGACGCUGAGACGCGAAAGCGUGGGGAGCAAACAGG
RNAcentral lists this ribosomal RNA (255 nucleotides) under uncultured bacterium. RNAcentral describes it as "partial 16S ribosomal RNA". It matches the Rfam family "Bacterial small subunit ribosomal RNA", at positions 524 to 776 of the family's 1533-position model. The record is from RNAcentral.